Long non-coding RNA from Triticum urartu, 985 nucleotides. RefSeq lists it as uncharacterized. The record is from RefSeq and is a predicted model, not a curated record. Lineage: Eukaryota; Viridiplantae; Streptophyta; Magnoliopsida; Poales; Poaceae.
CCUCGUCAGAAACAUGGGCUUCUUCCUCGCAUUUGUGGUAACCUCGCGCCGACGACAUUGCCGGAGUUGCAGUGCUCGCCGCUAUCUCCCAUCUGCGCCCCCGCCUGCUGCUGCAACAGGAACGGCGCGGCUAUUUCGCCAACCCACCCCUGCUCGCCCGGCACCUUCCCUACCACUACCAGCCCAGCCAUCUUCCGCCUACCUCCGGCUUACCCUACAGUGGUGACCACCUCUGAGACUAAAUCUUGGUUAGCUCUGAGGAUUUUUCUUGCUUCUCUCUCUCCCCCAGGCAUGCAAGCUCUGCACUGAGUGAAUCCGCGUGGUGGAAAUACAUUUCGGUGCUCAAAAUUAUUAGCAUUCUGAAGCUCAAGGUUGUAUGAUUGGUAGUGCGCGUCAUUCCUGGAUUAUAAGCCCAGAGAGGAUCAGAAUGAUAGAGCUCUCAACUUCCAUGAGCUAUGUUUCAGACUUCAGAGUUUUCCUACUUAAUUUUGCUGAUGUCAUGCCUGGACCAGGCUUGGCAUCUUCCAGAUGAGCUGAUGGACAAGACAAUGUUGUAGUUUCCUUUUCGCGGAAAGGGGCAUUGAUAGGAUCAGAAUGGGCGUGCUAAGCAUGGAUGAUUUGUGCAGGCCUCCGUCACUCAUGCUCUGGUGGCCUCUUAGCCGCCCUCAGGACCGGGACGCCAUCUCCGCCUUCAUCGCCGACCUGCGCUCGAUGGCAGUCCGCCUAUCGCCGCCGCCUCCUCCGCCGCCCCCGGAGCCAGAUUAGACGCCUGGCUUGCUCUCCGGCUACGGCCUCUUUUUCUUUAUUGUUUUUUGGGCUUGUUGAGCUGUGCCCUCAGCAGAACCUUUGUAUUUCUUGUUGUUUGACUUGAAUGUGUGUGUGCUGAACUAGUUCAUGUAUGUGUGCUCUGGCAGUUUGCUUUAUUUAUAAAGCGAAGCGAAAUCCUUUUUCGGUGGUAACCAGGUUAGCCUACGAACACCUAGAA